GGAGGCAAUUUGAAGGGUAGGAUGCAGGCAAGAUGGGACACUUGCUGUCCAGCUGUGUUUCUGGAGGGUGUCCAAAAAGUUCUAAAACAGCUCAACUCAAUGGUAGAAAGAUGUCAGUCUCUUAAAAUUCUUUGUCAUCAGGGAAACUUUAAAUCCACAUUGAUAUUCAGUUCUAUUUAAGUGGACAAAAUAAAAAUCGAGAAAUUGGGAGCAAAUCUAUUGCAUGGACUAGGUUGAGCACAGAAAACACAGUACAUUUAAGCAGUCCCCGAAUUUGUUAUGGAGUGCUCUGAGUCCCCAGUAAAAAUGAUUUGGCUUUGCUUAUCUGGUCAAGAAUACACGAUUAUCGAUAAGAGACUCCAACGGCCAAAGAUAAUUUCUCUUUAAAGAUAACUCAUCUGUGAAAUGAGGCAGUUAGGCAAGGUAAUCUCUAUGUCCCUUCCAGUUGGAACGUUUUCUGAGAUUUUCUAGGCGGAUUCCAAGUCCGCCUAUCAAACUGCUUGGUCUAUUCUGCAGGAUGUUCCUCUUCCAACAGCGAAUUCUGCAGGUUCAAUCCAGACCUUCAAGAACCACAGCUUCUUGGGCCCUGCUACCCUCUGACUAUAAUCCUGCCCGUGAAAGAAGUCUUCGGGGGGUGAUGCACCUGUUUUGCUGCUGAUAUUGGCAAUGACAGAGCUAUCAUUACGAGAUCUGAGACCCAAUGAUUCGCCCACAAGUGUCAGAGGAGACAUCAAGAUUGCAAAUUUAGUACCAGAAGGAGCCUUCCAGAUCAUUUGGUCCACCUUACCCCGAAUGCAAGUCCAAAUCCAUCAUGCUUUCCGCAGGUCUACUAAGCCAGACUUCUCUGCCCUUCGACUUCACUGUGUAGGAGCUGAGACUAACAAGGAGCUAGUCUUGUUUCAAAGUCACACUUUGUACUCGGCUGUCUCACUCAAGCAUGAAGAAUGAUUCAUGAACAGGGAAUCGGCUGGAAAGGAUCACUGACUCCAGAACUGGCACAACGGUCCUGGGAUCAUCAAAGACAGUGUUCCAACUCUUCUGCUAUGUUGUGGAGAGAUUUCUGACCCAAAUAUCUUAGAGUUGUCUGCCAAAGGGCCUCAGUGCCAUGAUAAAUAAAGAGGUAGAAGGCCCGAGUCUGAUUCUGAAACUGAAUCAAAUACAAAUACAAC
RNAcentral lists this long non-coding RNA (1169 nucleotides) under Sarcophilus harrisii (Tasmanian devil). RNAcentral describes it as "lncRNA (ENSSHAG00000026906.1)". Lineage: Eukaryota; Metazoa; Chordata; Mammalia; Dasyuromorphia; Dasyuridae. The record is from RNAcentral.